This 216-nucleotide ribosomal RNA is filed under the name Campeiostachys nutans. Its description in RNAcentral is "Elymus nutans partial small subunit ribosomal RNA". The stretch from base 37 to 216 matches the Rfam family "Eukaryotic small subunit ribosomal RNA", at positions 684 to 864 of the family's 1831-position model. Lineage: Eukaryota; Viridiplantae; Streptophyta; Magnoliopsida; Poales; Poaceae. The record is from RNAcentral.
GGACCAUCAUGUCGGUCGUGCCUCGGUACGUACUGGUAUUGUUGGUUUCUCCCUUCUGACGAACCAUGAUGUCAUUUAUUUGGUGUUGUGGGGAACCAGGACUUUUACCUUGAAAAAAUUAGAGUGCUUAAAGCAGGCUAGUGCCUGAAUACAUUAGCAUGGAAUAAUGAAAUAGGACGGCAUGGUUCUAUUUUGUUGGUUUCUAGGAUCACCGUA